Molecule: ribosomal RNA, 465 nt
Filed under: uncultured bacterium
Lineage: Bacteria
Description: partial 16S ribosomal RNA
Rfam family: Bacterial small subunit ribosomal RNA
Source: RNAcentral
CUACGGGCGGCAGCAGUGAGGAAUUUUGCGCAAUGGGCGAAAGCCUGACGCAGCAACGCCGCGUGAGUGAUGAAGGCCUUCGGGUCGUAAAGCUCUGUCAAGUGGGAAGAACCUAUGUAAUGUUAAUAUCAUUAUAUACUGACGGUACCACUGAAGGAAGCACCGGCUAACUCCGUGCCAGCAGCCGCGGUAAUACGGGGGGUGCAAGCGUUAUUCGGAAUCAUUGGGCGUAAAGGGCACGUAGGCGGCCUGGUAAGUCAGAUGUGAAAGCCCGGGGCUUAACCCCGGAAGUGCAUUUGAUACUGUCAGGCUUGAGUAUGGGAGAGGGAAGUGGAAUUCCUGGUGUAGAGGUGAAAUUCGUAGAUAUCAGGAGGAACACCGGUGGCGAAGGCGACUUCCUGGACCAAUACUGACGCUGAGGUGCGAAGGCGUGGGUAGCAAACAGGAUUAGAUACCCUCGUAGUC